GUAUUAAGCCAGGGGAGCUGACGACCGACCGGCCAGGUCGGUUUAAGCUGAGAAAUCCGCGAAGGGCGGAUGACCCUAUGAACCUGCUCGGGGUAAUGCCCGCGAAGGAAGGCUCGUUUUAAUGAAC
Molecule: non-coding RNA, 127 nt
Filed under: Planctomycetota bacterium
Lineage: Bacteria; Pseudomonadati; Planctomycetota
Description: Planctomycetes bacterium TPP sequence
Rfam family: TPP riboswitch aptamer (THI element)
About the family: Vitamin B(1) in its active form thiamin pyrophosphate (TPP) is an essential coenzyme that is synthesised by coupling of pyrimidine and thiazole moieties in bacteria. The previously detected thiamin-regulatory element, thi box was extended, resulting in a new, highly conserved RNA secondary structure, the THI element, which is widely distributed in eubacteria and also occurs in some archaea. Analysis of operon structures identified a large number of new candidate thiamin-regulated genes, mostly transporters, in various prokaryotic organisms.
Source: RNAcentral